CAGUUCGCCGAUGCUGUCUUCGGAUCUGGGCAAUCGGGGUCACAAGGAAGUCUGACUGCAGAAAAUUUGGUCUCCUAUUGUCAGCAAGCGUGUAACUUUGCAGUGCCUUCCUCCAAAGCAAGGCGUCCAGAGGCGUCAGGUCGCAAAGGAGCACCCCACGGCCACAAGGAGCGCCACGCCAGCCGGUCGGCACUUCCGCAGCACAACGCUGUUCAGCACACUCGGCAGGCCGGAUCAUCCUCCAGCGGCAUCUGCCCCACCUUCUGCCAGAACUUAGACUCGUACAUUCCCACCUUCGGAAGCUCGUCUCAGAGCUCAUCCACGGGCAGCUCAGCAGGUUCCACUGGUGAGUCCGGAACCAGUUCACAAACUUCCAGUGACAGCCAAGGCGGAUCUACAACUGGUUCGGAAGAAUCUUCCACUUCUACGUAGAGUUCCAGUGGUACACCAGGAAAAUCUUCAGAUCACUUUAAUCCGUCGUAAUAUAUCUGAACCAUCUCGCUUUCAGAUCGGAAGCUUUGGACAGUGAAACAGGCCACGUAAAUCUAAAAACUAGUGUAGUUCUCUUUCUUCAGCUCGGCUCGUCUGCACUCCUAUCUAUCUUAUAAUAUAGGUUCUUAUUGACAAUGAUCAGAGUGCACAUACAAUGGAAACCCUACGCAGACCUAAGUAAAACUAACCACGUUGAUUUUAUUUCUCAAGCGUACUGUUAGCAGUCACAGAGGAACUAUAAAAUAUUAUUAAUUGUAGCAUCUAAAUA
Molecule: long non-coding RNA, 760 nt
Organism: Schistocerca cancellata (South American locust)
Lineage: Eukaryota; Metazoa; Arthropoda; Insecta; Orthoptera; Acrididae
Exons: 5
Source: RefSeq, a predicted model, not a curated record